AGUCGAGGGGUACAGUCCCGCUUCGGCGGGAGCUGACGACCGGCGCACGGGUGAGUAACGCGUAUGCAACUUUCCUGUAACUGGAGGAUAGCCCCUGGAAACGGGGAUUAAUACUGCGUAAUACCUAAAUACCGCAUGGUAUUAAUGUCAAAUCUACGGAGGUUACAGAUGGGCAUGCGUGCCAUUAGCUAGAUGGUAAGGUAACGGCUUACCAUGGCAAUGAUGGCUAGGGGUUCUGCAAGGAAUGCCCCCCACACUGGUACUGAGACACGGACCAGACUCCUACGGGAGGCAGCAGUGAGGAAUAUUGGUCAAUGGAGGCAACUCUGAACCAGCCAAGCCGCGUGAAGGAAGACUGUCCUAUGGAUUGUAAACUUCUUUUGUGGCAGAAUAAACUACCGUACUUGUACGGUAUUGCAUGUAUGCCAUGAAUAAGCAUCGGCUAACUCCGUGCCAGCAGCCGCGGUAAUACGGAGGAUGCAGGCGUUAUCCGGAUUUAUUAGGUUUAAAGGGUGUCCAGGCUGCCUGGUAAGUCAGGGGUGAAAGUCCGGUUGCUCAACGAUCGAAUUGCCUUUGAAACUGUCAGGCUCGACUAUGGAUGCGGGUAGGCGGAAUGUGUAACUGUAGCGGUGAAAUGCAUAGAUAUUACACAGAACAC
RNAcentral lists this ribosomal RNA (658 nucleotides) under uncultured organism. RNAcentral's name for it is "bacterial SSU rRNA". It matches the Rfam family "Bacterial small subunit ribosomal RNA", at positions 60 to 709 of the family's 1533-position model. The record is from RNAcentral.